This 233-nucleotide ribosomal RNA is filed under the name uncultured bacterium. RNAcentral describes it as "partial 16S ribosomal RNA". It matches the Rfam family "Bacterial small subunit ribosomal RNA", at positions 100 to 334 of the family's 1533-position model. The record is from RNAcentral.
CGGGACGGGUGAGUAAUGUCUGGGAAACUGCCUGAUGGGGGGGGAUAACUACUGGAAACGGUAGCUAAUACCGCAUAACGUCGCAAGACCAAAGAGGGGGACCUUAGGGCCUCUUGCCAUCGGAUGUGCCCAGAUGGGAUUAGCUAGUAGGUGGGGUAACGGCUCACCUAGGCGACGAUCCCUAGCUGGUCUGAGAGGAUGACCAGCCACACUGGAACUGAGACACGGUCCAG